GAUUCUCACUGGGCGUAAAGCGUGCGCAGGCGGUUUUGUAAGACAGAGGUGAAAUCCCCGGGCUCAACCUGGGAACUGCCUUUGUGACUGCAAGGCUGGAGUGCGGCAGAGGGGGAUGGAAUUCCGCGUGUAGCAGUGAAAUGCGUAGAUAUGCGGAGGAACACCGAUGGCGAAGGCAAUCCCCUGGGCCUGCACUGACGCUCAUGCACGAAAGCGUGGGGAGCAAACA
Molecule: ribosomal RNA, 229 nt
Filed under: uncultured Alicycliphilus sp.
Lineage: Bacteria; Pseudomonadati; Pseudomonadota; Betaproteobacteria; Burkholderiales; Comamonadaceae
Description: partial 16S ribosomal RNA
Rfam family: Bacterial small subunit ribosomal RNA
Source: RNAcentral